CGGGGGCUGGCGGCGCUUUGGCCUUGGAGAGAAACAUGGGGAACGGGGCGGGGGGCUUCGGACCCCCUAACGUGGAUUACUUGGUGCGUAUCAGCCGGGAUCAGAAGAGCCACGACCUCGUCUCCCUUCGUGCGUUGGUUCAUUCCAUCGAACAGCCGGGUCGCUGACCUGCAGGUGAAAUUGGGGAUUUCUGGCUGACUUCGUGGCUACUUGGAACCAUGACAGGAGGACCAGAAAAAAGGCCUGGAAAAGAGGACAGAUAAGGACUGCUCUUCCUCACCCACACUUCUUUCCAGGAAGCUUAGUGGAGCCAACAAAUGCCACCAGGACCUCCCUGAAGGACGUGGAUAAGGUUGGACCACCUCUUGAGAGGCAGGAGCUCUGGAUUCAAAGGCAAAUUCUUAUUUUGGAGAAGAAGAGACUCCUGGAUUUGAGGAGACAUCUGGGUAGAAAGUAAAGAUCCUCACCCUGAGGAAUAAUCUACGUGUCCACCCGAAGAGCAGGGACAUGCAUCUCUGGAGGUGCUCUGCAGGAGGACAAGACUCAUCAUCCCAGACUUCGUUCUUCUUUCUUGUGGAAAACGUUUCCUCUGCUGCUGCCUGCUCAUGCGACCCUACCCCCACCCCCUCCACGGCAGCCAAUGGGCUUCCUACCACACCCUUCUUGCCCUGCACCUCCGUGUUGGCUGUGCCUUUGGACUCAGCAGUUCUUCUUAUUUGUUCCAUUACCUUCUGGCCAGAUGCAGAGUGAAUAGUUAACUAUACUUAGGUCAAGUGGGAUCUUAAUUUUUGUUCCUGCUCUUUCUAAAGAAGCCAGUGUGUGUGUGUUGUGAGCAGCCUUGGAAUAGUAUUCCUCGUUCACUUGGGAUCUGUCUCCCUAGGUUGGGGAGUAAUGCACGAAGCUGUGUGGAAGUUGUCCAGGCUCUUGGACGUGAGGGCUGUUGGAGAAGGCUUCAGCAGGGGAGCUGGACCGCGAAGGCUGGCGUUCUUCAUGUGCAACUUCCUUUGUUCGGAUCACACACGAGUAUACAUCCAGAAGGGCAAACAAUGAACGCCGCUGUUCAUUCCAACUCUCUUCUAUGACACAGAUGCACAGUAGGCUCUGAAGACCCUCUUCUCUCAGGUGGCAGCUGGAGUCCAUGCCAGAUCAUGAGGCUUCAUGACAGAUGAGACAGCUAGCAGGGUUGCCGGUGUUAAUCACGGACCCCCUGCCCCCAGUGUGUGGUGAGGAUGUACACACGCCUGACAACAGCUUGCGUCUUGUCUGUUCCUUUUACUCUGUAACCACCGUGUGCAUGGUUCAGAGUACUUCCUAAACAUGUCAUGGUCAACCUUGUCCAGAAUGAAGAGUCAAAGAUGUUUGUACUUCCUUAUUUCCAAAGGAAUAUAACGAAUGGAAUAAUAUGAAUGGGCAGCUUGCUUUUGUAAAAGAAUUUCAGCUUC
This is a long non-coding RNA of Galeopterus variegatus (Sunda flying lemur), 1442 nucleotides long. RefSeq lists it as uncharacterized. NCBI's taxonomy places the organism in Eukaryota, Metazoa, Chordata, Mammalia, Dermoptera, Cynocephalidae. The transcript has 3 exons. The record is from RefSeq and is a predicted model, not a curated record.